GUGGGGAAUAUUGGGCAAUGGAGGCAACUCUGACCCAGCAACGCCGCGUGAAUGAUGAAGGUCUUCGGAUUGUAAAGUUCUUUUCUAAGGGAAGAAGAAAGUGACGGUACCUUAGGAAUAAGCCUCGGCUAACUACGUGCCAGCAGCCGCGGUAAUACGUAGGAGGCAAGCGUUAUCCGGAAUGACUGGGCGUAAAGGGUGCGUAGGUGGUUCAGCAAGUUAGUAGCGUAACUCCGGGGCUCAACCUCGGCACUACUACUAAAACUGUUGGACUUGAGUGAUGGAGAGGCAGGCGGAAUUCCCGGUGUAGCGGUGGAAUGCGUAGAUAUCGGGAGGAACACCAGUGGCGAAGGCGGCCUGCUGGACAUUAACUGACGCUGAGGCGCGAAAGCGUGGGGAGCAAACAGGAUUAGAAACCCUAGUAGUCC
Molecule: ribosomal RNA, 428 nt
Filed under: uncultured bacterium
Lineage: Bacteria
Description: bacterial SSU rRNA
Rfam family: Bacterial small subunit ribosomal RNA
Source: RNAcentral